This 468-nucleotide ribosomal RNA is filed under the name uncultured bacterium. RNAcentral describes it as "partial 16S ribosomal RNA". It matches the Rfam family "Bacterial small subunit ribosomal RNA", at positions 28 to 507 of the family's 1533-position model. The record is from RNAcentral.
GACGAACGCUGGCGGCGUGCUUAACACAUGCAAGUCGAACGGAAAGGCCCUGCUUUUGUGGGGUGCUCGAGUGGCGAACGGGUGAGUAACACGUGAGUAACCUGCCCUUGACUUUGGGAUAACUUCAGGAAACUGGGGCUAAUACCGGAUAGGAGCUCCUGCUGCAUGGUGGGGGUUGGAAAGUUUCGGCGGUUGGGGAUGGACUCGCGGCUUAUCAGCUUGUUGGUGGGGUAGUGGCUUACCAAGGCUUUGACGGGUAGCCGGCCUGAGAGGGUGACCGGCCACAUUGGGACUGAGAUACGGCCCAGACUCCUACGGGAGGCAUCAGUGGGAAGUAUUACACAAUGAGCGGAAGCCUGAUGCAGCAACGCCGCGGGCGGGAUGACGGCCUUCGGGUUGUAAACCGCUUUCGCCUGUGACGAAGCGUGAGUGACGGUAAUGGGUAAAGAAGCACCGGCUAACUACGUG